Molecule: transfer RNA, 93 nt
Filed under: Bordetella trematum
Lineage: Bacteria; Pseudomonadati; Pseudomonadota; Betaproteobacteria; Burkholderiales; Alcaligenaceae
Description: tRNA-???(cgaa)
Source: RNAcentral
GGCUGUGCUGGGCCAGGAGCAGAUCGGCUUCGAAGUGCCGGCGCUGCGCCUGAUCGGGCAGGCCGCCUCGGGUUCGAUGCGCGACGCGCUCUC